RNAcentral lists this long non-coding RNA (242 nucleotides) under Betta splendens (Siamese fighting fish). RNAcentral describes it as "lncRNA (ENSBSLG00000007677.1)". The record is from RNAcentral. Lineage: Eukaryota; Metazoa; Chordata; Actinopteri; Anabantiformes; Osphronemidae.
GCCGCAGUUUCCACCGGACGCAGUUUGAGGCACGCGGCGCUUUUGUUUUUGCGCAGACAAAGCGCUUCGCGGCUGCGAGGCGCAAAGCGAUGACUGCGCGAGAGAGCGGCACUAAAGACAAAUGGGCUUCAACAAAGCCCAAAUAAGCUGGACGAGGAAAGACUGCAGCUGCGAGAUGGAGAAGCUGGAGAUGCUCCAGGAUCAGCAGAGAGGAAGCGUCAUAGCAUCACUUCAAUCCUGAA